This 393-nucleotide long non-coding RNA is filed under the name Homo sapiens (human). Its description in RNAcentral is "HSALNT0117354". Lineage: Eukaryota; Metazoa; Chordata; Mammalia; Primates; Hominidae. The record is from RNAcentral.
CCUCAAGAGAAGAGCUGCAGGCUGUCGAAAGCCCAUUUCAAGCUUUGUGCUGCCUCUUGAUCUACCUCUUUGUCCAGUGGACACGCUUUGCCUGGAGGAUUUGCAUGCGUUUAUUGCGCAGGCCUUGUGCCUCCAAGGAAAAUCCACCUCGCAGCUUGUAAAUCUACAGGUACAGACGUGACCAGUUAGUUGUCACUGCCCGGAAGACAGCUGUGCAGUCCAGCCUUCUCUUUCCCAUUAUAGUUGAAGUUUCACAGAAAAGAUCAGGAAGCUGAUUACAUCAACCCCAGAGCCGUGCAGCUGGGCUCCCUUCUCGUCCGCGGCCUCACCACUCUGGUUUUAGUCAACAGCGCAUGUGGCUUCCCCUGGAAGACGAGUGAUUUCAUGCCCUGG